UAUUUACCGAGACAGAAAAGUCUAAGAUGCUCUGCAAGCUUGCUUGCAUGAACAUCGCAGACUUUUAUGAAUCGCCCCUGACAUGAGCACGGAAAGCCGAGUAUCGGCUUGGAAGUGCGAAUGUCAGGUAGGAAUCGUGAAAGCACGAAGUGCGACGAUUCCGUAAAUA
RNAcentral lists this small RNA (169 nucleotides) under Oribacterium sinus F0268. RNAcentral's name for it is "Clostridiales-1 RNA". It matches the Rfam family "Clostridiales-1 RNA". The record is from Rfam by way of RNAcentral. Lineage: Bacteria; Bacillati; Bacillota; Clostridia; Lachnospirales; Lachnospiraceae.